AUUGAACGCUGGCGGCAUGCCUUACACAUGCAAGUCGAACGGCAGCACGGGUGCUUGCACCUGGUGGCGAGCGGCGAACGGGUGAGUAAUACAUCGGAACAUGUCCUGUAGUGGGGGAUAGCCCGGCGAAAGCCGGAUUAAUACCGCAUACGAUCUACGGAUGAAAGCGGGGGACCUGCGGGCCUCGCGCUAUAGGGUUGGCCGAUGGCUGAUUAGCUAGUUGGUGGGGUAAAGGCCUACCAAGGCGACGAUCAGUAGCUGGUCUGAGAGGACGACCAGCCACACUGGGACGGAGACACGGCCCAGACUCCUACGGGAGGCAGCAGUGGGGAAUUUUGGACAAUGGGCGAAAGCCUGAUCCAGCAAUGCCGCGUGUGUGAAGAAGGCCUUCGGGUUGUAAAGCACUUUUGUCCGGAAAGAAAUCCUUGGCCCUAAUACGGUCGGGGGAUGACGGUACCGGAAGAAUAAGCACCGGCUAACUACGUG
RNAcentral lists this ribosomal RNA (486 nucleotides) under uncultured bacterium. RNAcentral's name for it is "partial 16S ribosomal RNA". It matches the Rfam family "Bacterial small subunit ribosomal RNA", at positions 29 to 507 of the family's 1533-position model. The record is from RNAcentral.